Hippocampus comes (tiger tail seahorse) is the source of this 3674-nucleotide long non-coding RNA. RefSeq lists it as uncharacterized. The record is from RefSeq and is a predicted model, not a curated record. The transcript has 4 exons. Lineage: Eukaryota; Metazoa; Chordata; Actinopteri; Syngnathiformes; Syngnathidae.
AUAAAAGACAGACAGAAAGAUGGCAGUAUGGCAGUAAUCGUAAUAUCCUGAGUUUUUGGAGGGGGGUGGGUAAAAAAAGCAUUGAGCAUGUUUCAGAGGAAUACUGCUGACUCUCUGCAGGACGCAUACAAUCUGAUCAAGUUCAGAGACGCGUUGAGUGCUUCAAGCGGCGCUUUUUAACCGGCGAGCCUUUCACAAGCCACCCCCCCCCCUUCCUCCAAACAGCACCCUCCCCUUAUGCCCCAUACACACAUACACUCGCAAUCUGUCCCAGGAAGGAGCUCCUCACAUUCUUUAUUUUAUAAAGAGACUUUCUCUGUACAACCCUCUCCCCCCCAAAAAGUCUUCUAAAAUCAGCCCCUUCAUUUCUCGUCGCGCCUUCAUCCCAUCAUCAUCCAUCCAUCCACUCUCCUCAACUUUUUCCUGCACCCCUCACAUUCAUAUCACACAGAAGAGAGACAAAACAAGGACGCUUCAUUCAUCCUUUUUGGGGCGAAAGGCAUUUAAAAAAAAAGGCACUUGCUCUGCCGCUUCUUGGCACACAACGACAAAUGACGAUAUGUUUUCUUUUUUGCAUUCAGAGCUGAUGAUGAUCGUACUUUCACGCCCUGUCCGCCCGCAUUGUGCGUCCCAACUCCUUUGCGGAUAAGUCUUCACUUGGAGACGCCGAACGCACGUCUGAAGGGCCACAACUGUGCCGUGCAGUUUUGGGUCUCCCCCUGCGGGCGCCCUGGAGGGUUGGGGCGGAGAGGCCCCCGGAAAGGUAACUGGGCCGCUUGACCUCGAGCCGAGAGAAUUCCAAUGUUUACUGUUCCUAAAUCUUCAUUUUCACACCGGGCUCGCUAUAAAGCGUCUGCCUUCUUCCUGCUUGUUCCGUUCAAUAGCCACUCGGCCAUUUUAUUGUCUCAGUGGGGCUAUUGAGGGGUUCAGGCAGCAGUCAUCUGCCGAGGUGAGAGGUUGCUGUGUCUUCCACGCUAGCGGCACCCCUCAAAAUAUCCAACUCUUGACCUGCAAAAUGAUAGAAAAUAAGCCGCUAAUGUUUUGUCAUGGAUAAUGCAUUAUUAAGUGCAUUUAUGUCACGUUUAUUCGAAAUAAAUGUGGCACACUCUUCUUUGUGACCCUCCUCAAAGCUCACACGGUGUCAUGUUAUCGCAUAUUAUACAGGAUACAGUAUGUACACUUAGCGAUGGCGCUGCAUUAUUCAUAAACUCUAUUCUUGAUGAUUUAUUAAAUAUGAUAUCACACGACGGGGAAAGGGAAUCUAAGAACAAUAGGUUUCACUUUUUUGAUCAUUUUUAAGCAGAAUUCUUUGAGGUGGGGGGUGGCGGGGGGGGGGGGGGAAAUCGGCCAGUUGGUGGCAAGUCUGCAGUGUUAUUUCUACUCCGUGGCCACAACAUUCGGUACGCUGGCGCCAAGAUAAUAAUGUUUCGUUUUGAUCAAGGGUCACUGACCUUUUCGUAAGUGAGAGUUACUUCUUGGGCAUUGAUUAAUGCGUAGGGCUUCCAGUUUCAUACACACGUCUGAAGUAAGAAAUAUGCUCAAAUUACCUUGAAUUAUGUGUUAGUCAUGAUAAUUAUUGAUAUUUAGCUCCAUGAAGACGCUGAUCAUGUUCUUGCUUUCUCACAAUCAGUGUCAACAAAGAUUUAAUGAGCUCGGAAACAGAUAAAUAUCAACAGGUUAAAUUACAAUUCCCAGAAAAUCACGAUGUCCCACCACUGGUGAGCUGUUUUUAGAAUCGACCUGCGGGAUACUUACGUGAUUCCUCGGUGCACCCUGAUGAGAGCAGACCCGACAUUGGGGUCAGCCAUGUUUUUAUUUGCCAAUAUGGCUUCCCAGCGUUGUACUUUGCAAUCAUUCUGUUUCUAAUAUUUUGGCCCUGUUCGUAGCUGUCCUCACUUGAAUAGUGCCUUGUGCAAGAUCCCACUUUGGCGCCCCCCCUGCCCCUCCAACGCACACAAAUACCAAUGAAGCACUCAUUGGAAGGGGAUUGAUUGAUUGAUUGAUUUAUAAAAUCGACCGGCUUGUAAAUCGAUUCGAAUACAGCAACAGCAAAGAACAAUUUGAAAAUUAAGCUCACAUAACAAAACAACACAAACAAUACACGAGUAAGUGGAACAGACAACGACCCUUCCACAACAUCAAGCUGCCAUUCCACUUUGUGCGGCUCCUCAUUUCACGCAUGCCAAAGUGUGCAAACUGCUUUGUUUAUCUGAAGGAUCUUUUUGUGUGGAUUUGUGUGUAACUCAGUAUUCUCUACCCAUGAGAUACUGCAACACAACCAACAGAAGUGUAAAUUAUGAUCUUUUGGGGCAAGUGGCAUAGCCCCGAUGCCGUCACACAAAAGGGCGUGUCCAAAAACGUUUUCCUCCACCCAUGACGACAGCAGUGAAAAAGCUAAAGAUGUUGAAUCCCUUUUAUUUGGACUCAUCAGUGUUGUGGCACAUGCAUCCUCUGCUGAUGUUACACGCUUGCCACACACACACACACACACACACACACACACACACACACGCAGUCACACGCACUGACUAUUAAUGAAGCCAGCAGUUUAAAUGAGGACACGGCAAGAGUGGCUGGUGGCAAACUUAAAUGUAGGCCAUUUUUGGUUGUUAGAACUUUGAAGGAAAUGCAAUACUUGAGAGGAUAGAAAUGCGGAAUCCUCACCAACGCUCUUUUCUUCAUUCGACAAGAAAGUCAGCGUGGAGCUCAAAGCUGACAUGUAGUCUCAAGUCCUGUCAGAGUUGCUUCUUAAAAAGCCAUUUUCCUUAGAGGAGCCAACGGACCAGUUGUGUUGUUUCCUGCAGAAAACUCUGCCGGCCCGCCUGCACUUUUUUUUUUUUUUUUUUUGUGGUUUUUACAUGCCAUGCGAAAUGGGCUCGCCAUUGUCAUCACGGCAGACUGGGAGCUGUGGGGAGAGGACGCCCGCGCUGUGCCAGUUGGCUCCGGUAGUGAAAACACAAGGCAGGCACAGCACCAUUCUAAUCUUCGGCGUUGCAGACACAAAGGUCACUUUGUGGCGAUUGCACUUGGAGUGUUCCAACAGCUCGGCGGGCAUAUUCGCAGCGGAAUGUAUAGAAAUGUACACAGUGUACACAUGCUGUUGGCUGCCAGCAUGUCAACAUUCGGCCGCUGCGCCAUGUGCUUCGGUCUAAAAAUGACUGUUAUUUAAAUCAGGCACACUCUCGAGGGGGCGCUGGGACGCCACCAACAUUUAAAUAUCCCGCAAUGUCAAUGAUAAAUUAAUGAUUUCAUUCAAAAUAUAUUAGGAGAUAAACAUUGUUUCAUUUUGAAAUGGUCCUUUUGUUUGCCAGCGGUUAUAAAAAAUGCAGUUUAAAAAAAAUGCAGUUAAUAUGGGUUAAUCGUUGGACUGAAUAGAAUACACAAUGCAGCAGCAGGCAGCUCACUCAACAGGAACAUUCUAAUUAUUUAGUAGAGUUCUUAAUUUUGUGUUUGAAUGUAUUAGGUUGAGUACUGACUACUGCAAAAAAGACUCUUGCCCCAGCCCCCCCAUGAGCCAGGCCUGGAGUGGUAAUUUGGAUAAUUCUGGCGAUUGAUUGAUGGGCCAGGUUGCUAUGUGUGCUACUUGGGGUGCUAUCCCAGCAUGCACAUUCAUUUGUUCUCCCCCAUGCCUGCGUGGGUUUUCUCUGGGUACUCCGUUUUCCUCCCACAUUCCA